GGUGGUCGGUCUUCGGACGCUGACGAGUGGCGACGGGUGAGUAAUACAUCGGAACGUGCCCAGUCGUGGGGGAUAACUACUCGAAAGAGUAGCUAAUACCGCAUACGAUCUGAGGAUGAAAGCGGGGGACCUUCGGGCCUCGCGCGAUUGGAGCGGCCGAUGGCAGAUUAGGUAGUUGGUGGGAUAAAAGCUUACCAAGCCGACGAUCUGUAGCUGGUCUGAGAGGACGACCAGCCACACUGGGACUGAGACACGGCCCAGACUCCUACGGGAGGCAGCAGUGGGGAAUUUUGGACAAUGGGCGAAAGCCUGAUCCAGCAAUGCCGCGUGCAGGAUGAAGGCCUACGGGUUGUAAACUGCUUUUGUACGGAACGAAAAAGCUUCUCCUAAUACGAGAGGCCCAUGACGGUACCGUAAGAAUAAGCACCGGCUAACUACGUGCCAGCAGCCGCGGUAAUACGUAGGGUGCGAGCGUUAAUCGGAAUUACUGGGCGUAAAGCGUGCGCAGGCGGUUAUGUAAGACAGAUGUGAAAUCCCCGGGCUCAACCUGGGAACUGCAUUUGUGACUGCAUGGCUAGAGUACGGUAGAGGGGGAUGGAAUUCCGCGUGUAGCAGUGAAAUGCGUAGAUAUGCGGAGGAACACCGAUGGC
This 650-nucleotide ribosomal RNA is filed under the name uncultured bacterium. RNAcentral's name for it is "bacterial SSU rRNA". It matches the Rfam family "Bacterial small subunit ribosomal RNA", at positions 68 to 716 of the family's 1533-position model. The record is from RNAcentral.